CUACGGGAGGCAGCAGUGGGGAAUAUUGGACAAUGGGGGAAACCCUGAUCCAGCAAUGCCGCGUGUGUGAAGAAGGCCUGCGGGUUGUAAAGCACUUUCGGUUGGGAGGACUGCUUCUAGCACUAAUAUUGUUGGAAGUUGACGUUACCUUCAGAAGAAGCACCGGCUAACUCCGUGCCAGGCGAGCCGCGGGUAAUGACGGAGGGUGCAAGCGUUAAUCGGAAGUACUGGGCGUAAAGCGCGCGUAGGCGGCUAGAUCAGUCGGGUGUGAAAGCCCCGGGCUUAACCUGGGAACUGCAUCCGAUACUGUCUAGCUUGAGUACAGGAGAGGAGAGUGGAAUUCCACAUGUAGCGGUGAAAUGCGUAGAUAUGUGGAGGAACACCAAUGGCGAAGGCAGCUCUCUGGCCUGAUACUGACGCUGAGGUGCGAAAGCGUGGGGAGCAAACAGGAUUAGAUACCCCCGUAGUC
Molecule: ribosomal RNA, 469 nt
Filed under: uncultured bacterium
Lineage: Bacteria
Description: partial 16S ribosomal RNA
Rfam family: Bacterial small subunit ribosomal RNA
Source: RNAcentral